UCUUCGAAACUGAAAGUUCCUGUCCAACGGGAAAACUACUUAACUACUAAUUGUCAAUUUGAAUAAAUUUUGUUUGAUAUAUAAAAUGAUUAUUGAUCAAAACGAAAGUUAGAUUUGAGAUUGGAACAGAAUACAAGGUGUGAUGGCUAAAUCAUAUUCUAACCAUGAUGGAAAUACUUGUUCUCCAAAAACAAUUUCCGAUGAAAACCAAACGUAUGAAAAUAUAGAUGACUUUGUAUUGUCGAACAUCAAUUAUGAUAACUUGCAAAACGAUCCAAAAAAAAGGAGCAUAUUUUGGAUAACAACACUGGCGACGAUA
This 319-nucleotide long non-coding RNA is filed under the name Mytilus galloprovincialis (Mediterranean mussel). The record is from RNAcentral. Lineage: Eukaryota; Metazoa; Mollusca; Bivalvia; Mytilida; Mytilidae.